CAGACAUAUUAGUGGUUGCUGGGUGCGUGUUCCUAUUCUCUCGGGGAAUUGCGGCUCUCAAAAGCAGCUGGUUAGCGGAAACGCAAAGGCGCAAAUCCAACUCCUAACCUUCGCCCGUUUUUAGCCUCAAAUAAUAAUAAUGAUCCAAAAAUUUGUGCGUGUUUCUUGUUAAGAUUCGGAAACUUUAACGACUAGCCUCUUGUAUUUGCUCUUUGAGGGGUCAAUUCUCUGACACCCCUCUCUCCGCAAAAUACAGCUUUCUUCUCUUUUCUCCGCCGUCAGCUCUGGUUUUCUUCCCUCGCCAAACAUGAGUUCACUUGUGCAGGGGUUCACAAAGUCUCUUGCCAUGACUGUGCUAUCCGAGAUCGGCGACAAGACCUUUUUUGCCGCAGCGAUCUUGGCAAUGCGUCAUCCGAGAAGACUUGUUUUGUCAGGUUGCCUAGCUGCCUUGAUUGUGAUGACUAUUCUUUCUGCUGUUGUUGGCUGGGCUGCUCCAAAUCUGCUCUCUCGCACAUGGACUCAUCACAUAACAACUGUAUUGUUUUUUGGAUUUGGGUUAUGGUCCUUGUGGGAUGGAUUUACUGACAAAGGGGAGGCUGAAGAAUUGGCUGAAGUUGAAGCAAAAUUGGAUGCUGAUUGGAAAGCUAAUACUGGAAUAACCAAAGAGGAUGUUAAGGCUGAUGAUGAAUUGAAGAAGCAGAGACAACCAUUUCUUGCACAAUUCUUCUCACCUAUAUUCUUGAAGGCGUUUUCCAUCACAUUCUUUGGUGAAUGGGGCGACAAGAGCCAGAUAGCUACCAUUGGUUUGGCUGCAGAUGAGAACCCAUUUGGUGUUGUUCUUGGUGGAAUUGUAGGCCAAGCACUCUGUACCACUGCUGCUGUUGUUGGAGGAAAAAGCUUGGCAUCUCAGAUAUCUGAGAAAAUAGUAGCGCUGUCAGGUGGCAUUCUUUUUAUCAUUUUUGGGAUGCAGUCCUUACUUUUGACAGCGGAGUCAUGAGGCUCCUGAUAUUGCUAAUGGUUAGUAGUUCCAGAACAUUCAAAUACCACAUCUUAGAAGUCACUGGCUAUUAAGAAUAGCACCUAAAGUUUCCAUGCACAAGUACAAUGCAAUGGAAAUCGCCAAUAUGGUUCUCCAUUUGCAUAUUGGAGCAGAAUAUCUAAGAAUUGAUUUAGCAAACUGAUACCAUUGUUAUUAAACUGGGAAGGGUUUCCUUGUUCAUCAUAUAAGAGAACUCACUUGCCGCACACACAUGGUCAUGAUGGUGGAUGCUGGCUAGCAUACUUUGUGCUCACCAAAACUGAUGAUUACGAUUUGUGGUUGCAUCUUUUCAGGGUUGAAAGCUGGUUAGGUGGAUU
Molecule: RNA transcript, 1356 nt
Organism: Manihot esculenta (cassava)
Lineage: Eukaryota; Viridiplantae; Streptophyta; Magnoliopsida; Malpighiales; Euphorbiaceae
Gene name: GDT1-like protein 4
Exons: 13
Source: RefSeq, a predicted model, not a curated record